GACGAACGCUGGCGGCGUGCCUAAUACAUGCAAGUUGAGCGCUGAAGGUUGGUACUUGUACCGACUGGAUGAGCAGCGAACGGGUGAGUAACGCGUGGGGAAUCUGCCUUUGAGCGGGGGACAACAUUUGGAAACGAAUGCUAAUACCGCAUAAAAACUUUAAACACAAGUUUUAAGUUUGAAAGAUGCAAUUGCAUCACUCAAAGAUGAUCCCGCGUUGUAUUAGCUAGUUGGUGAGGUAAAGGCUCACCAAGGCGAUGAUACAUAGCCGACCUGAGAGGGUGAUCGGCCACAUUGGGACUGAGACACGGCCCAAACUCCUACGGGAGGCAGCAGUAGGGAAUCUUCGGCAAUGGACGAAAGUCUGACCGAGCAACGCCGCGUGAGUGAAGAAGGUUUUCGGAUCGUAAAACUCUGUUGGUAGAGAAGAACGUUGGUGAGAGUGGAAAGCUCAUCAAGUGACGGUAACUACCCAGAAAGGGACGGCGAACUACGU
Molecule: ribosomal RNA, 496 nt
Filed under: uncultured bacterium
Lineage: Bacteria
Description: partial 16S ribosomal RNA
Rfam family: Bacterial small subunit ribosomal RNA
Source: RNAcentral